GAUGAACGCUAGCGGCGUGCCUAAUACAUGCAAGUCGAGCGAACAGACGAGGAGCUUGCUCCUCUGACGUUAGCGGCGGACGGGUGAGUAACACGUGGAUAACCUACCUAUAAGACUGGGAUAACUUCGGGAAACCGGAGCUAAUACCGGAUAAUAUAUUGAACUGCAUGGUUCAAUAGUGAAAGACGGUUUUGCUGUCACUUAUAGAUGGAUCCGCGCCGCAUUAGCUAGUUGGUAAGGUAACGGCUUACCAAGGCAACGAUGCGUAGCCGACCUGAGAGGGUGAUCGGCCACACUGGAACUGAGACACGGUCCAGACUCCUACGGGAGGCAGCAGUAGGGAAUCUUCCGCAAUGGGCGAAAGCCUGACGGAGCAACGCCGCGUGAGUGAUGAAGGUCUUCGGAUCGUAAAACUCUGUUAUUAGGGAAGAACAAAUGUGUAAGUAACUAUGCACGUCUUGACGGUACCUAAUCAGAAAGCCACGGCUAACUACGUG
RNAcentral lists this ribosomal RNA (497 nucleotides) under uncultured bacterium. RNAcentral's name for it is "partial 16S ribosomal RNA". It matches the Rfam family "Bacterial small subunit ribosomal RNA", at positions 28 to 507 of the family's 1533-position model. The record is from RNAcentral.